AUUGAACGCUGGCGGCAUGCCUUACACAUGCAAGUCGAACGGCAGCACGGGUGCUUGCACCUGGUGGCGAGUGGCGAACGGGUGAGUAAUACAUCGGAACAUGUCCUGUAGUGGGGGAUAGCCCGGCGAAAGCCGGAUUGAUACCGCAUACGAUCUACGGAUGAAAGCGGGGGACCUUCGGGCCUCGCGCUAUAGGGUUGGCCGAUGGCUGAUUAGCUAGUUGGUGGGGUAAAGGCCUACCAAGGCGACGAUCAGUAGCUGGUCUGAGAGGACGACCAGCCACACUGGGACUGAGACACGGCCCAGACUCCUACGGGAGGCAGCAGUGGGGAAUUUUGGACAAUGGGCGAAAGCCUGAUCCAGCAAUGCCGCGUGUGUGAAGAAGGCCUUCGGGUUGUAAAGCACUUUUGUCCGGAAAGAAAUCCUUGGCCCUAAUACGGUCGGGGGAUGACGGUACCGGAAGAAUAAGCACCGGCUAACUACGUG
Molecule: ribosomal RNA, 486 nt
Filed under: uncultured bacterium
Lineage: Bacteria
Description: partial 16S ribosomal RNA
Rfam family: Bacterial small subunit ribosomal RNA
Source: RNAcentral